This 253-nucleotide ribosomal RNA is filed under the name uncultured bacterium. RNAcentral describes it as "partial 16S ribosomal RNA". It matches the Rfam family "Bacterial small subunit ribosomal RNA", at positions 524 to 776 of the family's 1533-position model. The record is from RNAcentral.
UACGGGGGGGGCAAGCGUUGUUCGGAAUUACUGGGCGUAGAGGGUUUGUAGGUGGCCGGCUAAGUCAGGCGUGAAAUCCCUCAGCUUAACUGGGGAACUGCGUCUGGGACUGGUCGGCUUGAGGGCCGGAGAGGAACGCGGAAUUCCAGGUGUAGCGGUGAAAUGCGUAGAUAUCUGGAGGAACACCGGUGGCGAAGGCGACAUCCUGGACCGGUAUUGACGCUGAGGCGCGAAAGCCAGGGGAGCAAACGGG